This 588-nucleotide ribosomal RNA is filed under the name uncultured Glomus. Its description in RNAcentral is "SSU rRNA". It matches the Rfam family "Eukaryotic small subunit ribosomal RNA", at positions 624 to 1213 of the family's 1831-position model. Lineage: Eukaryota; Fungi; Glomeromycota; Glomeromycetes; Glomerales; Glomeraceae. The record is from RNAcentral.
AAGCUCGUAGUUGAAUUUCGGGAUCAAUGGAUUGGUCAUGCCGUUGGUAUGUACUGGUCAUAUUGGUUCUCACCUUCUAAGGAACCAUAAUGUCAUUCAUUUGAUGUUUUGGGGAAUUAGGACUGUUACCUUGAAAAAAUUAGAGUGUUUAAAGCAGGCUAACGCUUGAAUACAUCAGCAUGGAAUAAUGAAAUAGGACAUCGCAUUCUAUUUUGUUGGUUUCUAGGAUCGAUGUAAUGAUUAAUAGGGAUAGUUGGGGGCAUUAGUAUUCAAUUGUCAGAGGUGAAAUUCUUGGAUUUAUUGAAGACUAACUACUGCGAAAGCAUUUGCCAAGGAUGUUUUCAUUAAUCAAGAACGAAAGUUAGGGGAUCGAAGACGAUCAGAUACCGUCGUAGUCUUAACCAUAAACUAUGCCGACUAGGGAUCGGAUGAUGUUGAUUUUUUAAUGACUCAUUCGGCACCUUACGGGAAACCAAAGUGUUUGGGUUCCGGGGGGAGUAUGGUCGCAAGGCUGAAGCUUAAAGGAAUUGACGGAAGGGCACCACCAGGGGUGGAGCCUGCGGCUUAAUUUGACUCAACACGGGGAAG